Paramuricea clavata is the source of this 153-nucleotide non-coding RNA. The record is from the annotation of a GenBank genome assembly. Lineage: Eukaryota; Metazoa; Cnidaria; Anthozoa; Malacalcyonacea; Plexauridae.
AGGAGGGAGUGCGUGGGUGGGAGUAACUGGGGGGGGGGGAGGCGAAGGCGAGAGAAAGAGAGCGAGGAAAAAUGGUUCGCACCUCCCAUUUUUCCUCGCUUUCUUUCGCCUUCGCCUUUCCCCCCUAGUUUCUCCCACCCUCGCCCUCCCCCU